Molecule: ribosomal RNA, 118 nt
Filed under: Candidatus Thorarchaeota archaeon
Lineage: Archaea; Promethearchaeati; Candidatus Thorarchaeota
Source: RNAcentral
UAGGCCGGUCAUAGUCCCCGGGGCACACCCGAACUCGGCUGAACUCGGAAGUUAAGCCCGGGGUCGUUGCGGGACAUGUGCGCGCUAGCGCGCGUGACAGGCCCGCAAACUGGCCAUU